GCAUGCUUACCAUGCAAGUCGACGAGACCUUCGGGUCUAGUGGCGCACGGGUGCGUAACGCGUGGGCAUCUGCCCUUUGCUACGGAAUAACUCAGAGAAAUUUGUGCUAAUACCGUAUAAUGUCGUAAGACCAAAGAUUUAUCGGCAAAGGAUGAGCCCGCGUAAGAUUAGCUUGUUGGUGGGGUAAAGGCCUACCAAGGCGACGAUCUUUAGCUGGUCUGAGAGGAUGAUCAGCCACACUGGGACUGAGGCACGGCCCAGACUCCUACGGGAGGCAGCAGUGGGGAAUAUUGGACAAUGGGCGAAAGCCUGAUCCAGCAAUGCCGCGUGAGUGAUGAAGGCCUUAGGGUUGUAAAGCUCUUUUACCAGGGAUGAUAAUGACAGUACCUGGAGAAUAAGCUCCGGCUAACUCCGUGCCAGCAGCCGCGGUAAUACGGAGGGAGCUAGCGUUGUUCGGAAUUACUGGGCGUAAAGCGUGCGUAGGCGGCUAUUCAAGUCAGAGGUGAAAGCCUGGAGCUCAACUCCAGAACUGCCUUUGAAACUAGAUAGCUAGAAUCUUGGAGAGGUGAGUGGAAUUCCGAGUGUAGAGGUGAAAUUCGUAGAUAUUCGGAAGAACACCAGUGGCGAAGGCGACUCACUGGACAAGUAUUGACGCUGAGGUACGAAAGCGUGGGGAGCAAACAGGAUUAGAUACCCUGGUAGUCCACGCCGUAAACGAUGAUAACUAGCUGUCCGGGCUCUCAGAGCUUGGGUGGCGCAGCUAACGCAUUAAGUUAUCCGCCUGGGGAGUACGGUCGCAAGAUUAAAACUCA
Molecule: ribosomal RNA, 812 nt
Filed under: uncultured bacterium
Lineage: Bacteria
Description: bacterial SSU rRNA
Rfam family: Bacterial small subunit ribosomal RNA
Source: RNAcentral